Pseudophryne corroboree (corroboree frog) is the source of this 433-nucleotide long non-coding RNA. RefSeq lists it as uncharacterized. The record is from RefSeq and is a predicted model, not a curated record. The transcript is spliced from 6 exons. Lineage: Eukaryota; Metazoa; Chordata; Amphibia; Anura; Myobatrachidae.
UGGACUACCAUGUGUGCAGACCUAUAGGACAACUGCUGGAAAACAAAAGGGAUUUAUUUAUCCCAAGUCCAUAAGUGGAUCCUUCCUUAUAUGCUUUACAGACAUUUAGAAAAAUUGCGGAAAUAUUAACCUAAUGAGGCAAGAUAAACAAACCAUAUAUCUACAUUUUUGGAGAAGAAUGUAAUCCACUAGGUGGCCUAUAAUAAGGAACCCCACCAAAGGCUGUUACAUUUUGAGAAUCUUCUUCCUCGAGUUUUUCAACCUAUUAAAAAAACCUUUCAGCACAAUUGGGUCCAAUUAAUACUCUUUACCUUUUAUGAAUGAUACAGCUAUUUCCAAAUAAACAGAGAGUUGUUAUUUAGAAGCACAAUUUGGUCCAAUUAAAAUUCAUUACCUUUUAUGAAUGAUACAGAUAUUUCAAAAUAAACAGAGA